Long non-coding RNA from Drosophila virilis, 1353 nucleotides. RefSeq lists it as uncharacterized. Lineage: Eukaryota; Metazoa; Arthropoda; Insecta; Diptera; Drosophilidae. The record is from RefSeq and is a predicted model, not a curated record.
AAGCAAACAUGCAUAAAUACACAAAUACACGCGCACGCAAGCGCUCUCUUCAUUCUUCUUCGUGCGCCUGUUAGUGGCAUACGUGUGACUAAUACAGCGUGGAGAGCCGAGCCGAACCGAACCGAACCGAACCGAACUGAGCCGAGUCGAGCUGCGCUGUUGCCUUUUGCCGCUCAUUUACUUUGCGCUCGAUUUCGCUCACUUGUUGUUUGUGGCGCGGCCAGGGCAUAGAAGAACAGCAACAACAAUACAACAGACACGCUGCGAUUGCCUGUACGUGAGUGUGUGUGCCCGUGUUCGUGCUUGUGCUUGUGCUUGUGUUUGUAAAGAAAAGCAAAGUACCAGGCAUCGUCGUCAGUGGCGCUGUGUUGCCUGUUGGCAAGGUGGGGAAGGGGUAUCAUUUGCAUCUGUGUACCCAAAACAGGCUAAAGAGUCCACAAAAAAGCAGAUUUGACGCUGGCACUGGCCUAUCUAUAUUCGCACAUUCACAAGUUAUGGCCGUAAUCAGCAUAAAAUAAAGUCCAUAUAGACUAAUACUUGGAAGGCCUAUCUAAACUCAUUGUGCGUGUGUGUGUGUGUGUGUGUGUGUGGUCAAAAUUACCGUAGCACAUUGCCACUCAAAUGUUAGAUAGCCCGAUUAGAAGCAUAUACUUAGCAGUCGCUCAAUAAGUCCAUGUCAAGACCCAGUGCCAGUAGACGAGACAAGUUGUCAAGGCAAGUUGUGUUGUUUGCGAUCCGGAAUCGCAUCACAAUAUGAAGAAUCCGUUGUGGUUCCUGUUUUGGCUGAUUGUGCUGCUUUUCGUGUCGUUUAUUGUGGCGCUUCUUGGUGCAUUUUUCUACAUUUGGACCUAUUUGUUAGCCCAAUGCAGCAGCUGUUUUCGGAGUGUUGCCGAGUUCUUUUUGAAGUGCCUGCAGUUUCCAGGCUAUUGUGCGGCCGCCAUGUUGAAUUGCCAAUCGUUGUGUUAGGCAAAUUAAUCGACUCUCGCUGACAUCGAUAAAUCACAGCACAAACAAUCGAAGUGUGUUCGCACUAGAGAUGGUAUUUUUCUUACACGUUUGGGCACACUUAACGCCCACAACAAGUGCAAGGCAAUCAGCUUGCUGUCAGAAAGAUUAGCCCUUUAGAUAAGUAAAAAUUGGCUUUACCAUUUUAUAGGCUACACACACAAUACACUUACAAAAACUUUGUGUACAUGUGCGUGUGCGUAUGUGUGUGUGUGUGUGUAUGCAUAUGUGUCAUCUCAGUAUGCAUUUACGUAGUAUAGUUGAUAAAUCGUACUAUUUUAAUAUCAUGUUAAUUUGUUAUGUAUCAUAUAAUAAAAUGUUGUUCUAAACUCAAGACUGUGUCCCAAG